GACGAACGCUGGCGGCGUGCUUAACACAUGCAAGUCGAACGGAAAGGCCCUGCUUUUGUGGGGUGCUCGAGUGGCGAACGGGUGCGUAACACGUGAGUAACCUGCCCUUGACUUUGGGAUAACUUCAGGAAACUGGGGCUAAUACCGGAUAGGAGCUCCUGCUGCAUGGUGGGGGUUGGAAAGUUUCGGCGGUUGGGGAUGGACUCGCGGCUUAUCAGCUUGUUGGUGGGGUAGUGGCUUACCAAGGCUUUGACGGGUAGCCGGCCUGAGAGGGUGACCGGCCACAUUGGGACUGAGAUACGGCGCAGACUCCUACGGGAGGCAGAAGUGGGGAAUAUUGCACAAUGGGCGGAAGCCUGAUGCAGCAACGCCGCGUGCGGGAUGACGGUCUUCGGGUUGUAAACCGCUUUCGCCUGUGACGAAGCGUGAGUGACGGUAAUGGGUAAAGAAGCACCGGCUAACUACGUG
This 468-nucleotide ribosomal RNA is filed under the name uncultured bacterium. RNAcentral's name for it is "partial 16S ribosomal RNA". It matches the Rfam family "Bacterial small subunit ribosomal RNA", at positions 28 to 507 of the family's 1533-position model. The record is from RNAcentral.